GGUGUUAUAGCAUAGUGGUCAUGCGGUGUACUGUUAAUGCAUUCAACGAAAGUUCGAUUCUUUCUAACACCU
Transfer RNA from Malassezia pachydermatis, 72 nucleotides. It matches the Rfam family "tRNA". Rfam says of the family: Transfer RNA (tRNA) molecules are approximately 80 nucleotides in length. The record is from Rfam. Lineage: Eukaryota; Fungi; Basidiomycota; Malasseziomycetes; Malasseziales; Malasseziaceae.